UCGAUACAGGCUAGGCUAGCUUAGCAGAGUUCCUUUUCGUUUCGCGAUAGUGCAUGCCUCCAGAUUCCAACAUGGAUAAAGCGGUGAACCACACAACCGUUGGAAAGUUCUUCCUUUUUCUAAUGACAGUGACGUUUUUGUUAUUCUACAUAUUCUACAUGUACAAGCAAGUCCCGAUGCCUCUUAAACAUUUAGGGAUACCAAUUCACGACAGACCAUGGCCCCACAGCUAGCCAGUUUGGAUUUCGGGACAGACAUUUUUAAUAAAAGUGUGUAUAUUUGUGAAUAUGUGUGUGCUUAGAAAUUAUGUGCAUUUAGAUUUGUGGAUAUUUCUGUAAAAUGGUGAUUUCAGGAUGGGAUACCUUUAGCAAACUUCUUUUAGGGAAACGUCUGCAGCUGGCAAUCUCGUAGGCCUCGUAGUACACCAUUGACCUACCUACUCAGGGCGUACUGGUAUUAGGGUAUCUUUGCAAGAUGAUACCACUGCAUGUUCAAUGUGCACCUGUACGCUAGCACUGGCAGCAACCACAAAAACUAAACAAUAAACUUUACAUAUAAGGAAUACAUGCUAACCUUGAGCAUAAAGUCAUUAACAGAGGUCAACCUAGUAUAGAGCAUGCAAACAUAACAAAAGAUCAAAGGUGUCAUCUGAUUUGCCGAAAAAAUAAUCGUAUAUCUACGGUGAACAUUUUCAGCAAAAAAACAGCAAAUCGAUUUCAAGGAUUACAUCAUUCAAACCUUACUUUCACAUUAUAACAGAUAACAUCAACCAAACCUUUAGAGUCAACAGCUGCAAAGUCAGUUAAUGCGUACUUCAACCUUGGAGUUGAUCAACAACUACAAAGUCAAUUCAUGGAUUACAUCAUUCAAAGCCUUUUGAUUCAACAGCCGCAGAGUCACUUCAUGGAUUACUUCAUUCAAAGUCUUUAGAUUCUACAGCCACAGAGUCACUUCAUGGAUUACUUCAUUCAAAGCCUUUAGAUUCUACAGCCACAGAGUCAUUUCAUGGAUUACUUUAUUCAAAGCCUUUAGAUUCUACAGCCACAGAGUCACUUCAUGGAUUACUUCAUUCAAAGCCUUUAGAUUCUACAGCCACAGAGUCACUUCAUGGAUUACUUCAUUCAAAGUCUUUAGAUUCUACAGCCGCAGAAAAAGAUCACUGUUGAUAAAAGACUCCCGCUACCUGUCAGUUAGAUAUUUUUUCCACACUGGUGAGGUUGUGGUAAAACAGGUUACAAAGCUGCAGGAGGUACGAAGAGAAACAGGUUUUGUAAAAUAUGUUCAAUCCAAGAAUGAAAUCAAUUUCUGCUGCUCCGAUGAAUAAAAUCAACUAAUAAGAUAUACCUGCAGAGCGAGUUAUGUGAGCUUUUGAAGUCUGGGUAGAGAAAAGAUUGUGCACUUGCCUAAGAGGUAAAAUUAUGUGGGUUAACUUUUAUAUUGCAAUCUCAAGUUGAAAUUAAUUUACAUGGAUUGGAUCUGUUUCCAGAGAAGUUUGAUUGCCCAGAGUUGCAAGUUAAUUUGAUCAGCCUUCUACUCUUGAAGGAAGAAUUCAUUAGCAAUCGGACAAACUUGAGGUACACACUGUGAGAACCUUUACCUCUGGUGCUCAAGGAGGGAAUGGGUAGGGGAUUUGUGUUCAACCACAUUUUUAUAGGCGACCGACGUCAUUAAGAUGUUUUGGGAUGUAUCCUUUCGAAGGGCGCAUCAAAUAUUGCCCACGAGAUGGAUUUGUAUGAUUUCGGAUCAAUCAGUUACUGGUAAUGAUAAGGGGGAAAGUGGUCGCCCUCCCUCUUUCAAACGAGGAACUAUUCUUGGAAAUACUAUAAUUCUUUGCACUAUCAGGACUUUAGUUUCUUUCUCUCUGGGACGGAGGGUAUUCGUCAAAUGGAGUAUGGCUGAGGAUUCGAACUUUGACCUUUCUGGAUGGUUUGAAUUAGGUCGAAUAUCAAGGUCAGAUUUGGAGCAAUGUGAUCUGUGUGGCCUCGGACAUACUGUAGAUUUUGGACAGCUUUCGCUGACCCUCGACCAGACUGCUCAACAAAGAAGAAGAUUUCCAAGAAAAUGAGAAUGGUAAUUACAGAUAUGGACAGGAGGGGGCACCACUGGCAUUCCCCAAGGAAGAUUGAAAUACGGAGGAAAAGACUGCUGACAAAACUGCUUAGUGUUUUAAAAGGUAAACUGACAGUUAUAACAAUUUUAAAGUUGAUACAAAACGACAAUGAUAAUGAUGAUAACCAUACAAUGAAUGCGGAAAUUGUAAUUCAUUGGCCACUCGGUGUGAUGUCGUCACCCAGGAAUAAUGACAUCAAGCCUAAUAUAUGUCAUAUCGUUUGCUAUCAACUUAAAACCGUUUUAAAAACUGUCAGUUCACCUUAAAAUAUCAAUGUAUGUCAAUAUCAGAAGAGUCUCUUUUCAACUUAAAAUAUCAAUGUGUGUCAGUGUCAGAAGAGUCUCUUUUCACAUUAAAAUAUCAAUGUAUGUCAGUGUCAGAAGAGUCUCUUUUCAUCUUAAAAUAUCAAUGUAUGUCAAUAUCAGAAGAGUCUCUUUUCAAAUUAAAAUAUCAAUGUGUGUCAGUGUCAGAAGAGUCUCUUUUCAACUUAAAAUAUCAAUGUGUGUCAGUAUCAGAAGAGUCUCUUUUCACCUUAAAAUAUCAAUGUAUGUCAAUAUCAGAAGAGUCUCUUUUCAAAUUAAAAUAUCAAUGUGUGUCAGUGUCAGAAGAGUCUCUUUUCAACUUAAAAUAUCAAUGUGUGUCAGUAUCAGAAGAGUCUCUUUUCACCUUAAAAUAUCAAUGUAUGUCAAUAUCAGAAGAGUCUCUUUUCAAAUUAAAAUAUCAAUGUGUGUCAGUAUCAGAAGAGUCUCUUUUCACAUUAAAAUAUCAAUGUAUGUCAGUGUCAGAAAAGUCUCUUUUCAUCUUAAAAUAUCAAUGUAUGUCAGUGUCAGAAGAGUCUCUUUUCACCUUAAAAUAUCAAUGUGUGUCUGUGUCAGAAGAGUCUCUUUUCACAUUAAAAUAUCAAUGUAUGUCAGUGUCAGAAGAGUCUCUUUUCACCUUAAAAUAUCAAUGUGUGUCUGUGUCAGAAGAGUCUCUUUUCACAUUAAAAUAUCGAUGUAUGUCAAUAUCAGAAGAGUCUCUUUUCACCUUAAAAUAUCAAUGUGUGUCAAUAUCAGAAGAGUCUCUUUUCACAUUAAAAUAUCGAUGUAUGUCAAUAUCAGAAGAGUCUCUUUUCUAUGGAAUGCUAAAGCGGAAUUUAUUCAAGAUAAUUUAUAUAUAUUCAAAGUAUUAUAUAUAUUCAAGAUAAUUUAUAUAUAUUCAAGAUAUUUUUUUUUUAUUUAAGAUAUGUUUUUUUAUAUUCAAGAUAAAGAAUGUGUUCAAAAUAUUUUAUUUUCAUUCAAGAUAUUUUAUUUACAUCCAACAUAAAAUUUUUUUUACUAAGAAUUACCAGAAUAUUAUCAAAAUAAUCUUACAUUUCGAUAUUUGUGCGCCGGGUUUCUUAACCAUGUAUCAUCUUUAUAAGUUCAAUUAAGUUCAUAACAUAUGUUUAUAAGUGAUUCUAUUGUUUAGAUUUAGAUUUGAAAUUGCUUUAUUUGAAUCGAGGUCAAAAUUUAAAUUCAAAUUCAACAUUCAAGAGAAAUGGCCCCAAUGACGUCUUCAAUUUGUGUGAUCACGUGAGUCUUGAAUGGUCACGUGAAUCUUGCAUGAAUAUUUUCUAUCUUGAAUAAAUUAUAUUCAAGAUGUUGAAUUUAUAUGCAAGACCUUUUAAAUUUUGCUUCAAGAAUAACUUUAUUUUUUGUAUAUAUAUUUAUUUUUUGAUGCAAAAUAUGUUGUUAUUUCUUAGGAAGAAACAUUUUAUGUUGGAUGUAAAUAAAAUAUCUUGAAUGCAAAUAAAAUAUUUUGAACACAUUUUUUAUUUUGAAUAUAGAUAAUUAUAUCUUCAAUAAAAAAAAAAUAUCUUGAAUAAAAAAACAUAUCUUGAAUAUAUAUAAAAUAUCUUGAAUAUAUAUAAAUCAUCUUGAAUGAAUUCCGCUUUAGCAUUCCAUACUUUUCACCUUAGAUCAACGUGUCUCAGUAUCAGAAGAGUCUCUUUUAAAAACAACUUAUGGGACCAUCUUAAAAGUUACCGACAGAAAAGGAAAAUUGAAGUCUUAUUCUCGUCAACCCGGAAAAGUGAUCUCUGUCAUGGCUAUAUGAGUGAAAUUUUGUGACGACAAACUUUUAGCUGUACAGGCACAUGAAUAUCAUAAAUAAAUAAAUAGAUUAGCAAGCAUGAA
Lineus longissimus is the source of this 4266-nucleotide long non-coding RNA. RefSeq lists it as uncharacterized. NCBI's taxonomy places the organism in Eukaryota, Metazoa, Nemertea, Pilidiophora, Heteronemertea, Lineidae. The transcript is spliced from 2 exons. The record is from RefSeq and is a predicted model, not a curated record.